AAGCGGUCCAAGUUAGUUUCUCAAGCUGGUUUUAAACAUCAUGACAGUAAAGGUGUCACGAGCACUGCUGAAGUUUUGCAUGUUAAAGAGAAUAUUAAAGCUGAGGAAGACUCAUAAAACCAUGAGAGGAGAAAAGAGGAGGAGAACAUCACACAGGUUUGUGUUUAAAAAAACAUAUUGGACAAUAAUCAGUAGGGGUUAAUGCAUUUAUGCUGAUAUUGAGAAUAUUGUAAUCUUGUCGUUUCAGAUAAUGGAGCACAAACUAUUUACACUCCUCGUUUUAAUUGGUAGGUUUUAUUCAGUGUGUGUGUGUGU
This is a long non-coding RNA of Rhinichthys klamathensis goyatoka, 315 nucleotides long. RefSeq lists it as uncharacterized. The transcript has 2 exons. The record is from RefSeq and is a predicted model, not a curated record. Lineage: Eukaryota; Metazoa; Chordata; Actinopteri; Cypriniformes; Leuciscidae.